GCCGAAGUGGCGGAAUUGGUAGACGCGCUAGGUUCAGGGUCUAGUGGGCGCAUGCCUGUCCGGGUUCAAAUCCCGGCUUCGGCACCA
RNAcentral lists this transfer RNA (87 nucleotides) under Deltaproteobacteria bacterium. RNAcentral's name for it is "tRNA-Leu". It matches the Rfam family "tRNA". From Rfam's summary of the family: Transfer RNA (tRNA) molecules are approximately 80 nucleotides in length. Their secondary structure includes four short double-helical elements and three loops (D, anti-codon, and T loops). Further hydrogen bonds mediate the characteristic L-shaped molecular structure. tRNAs have two regions of fundamental functional importance: the anti-codon, which is responsible for specific mRNA codon recognition, and the 3' end, to which the tRNAs corresponding amino acid is attached (by aminoacyl-tRNA synthetases). tRNAs cope with the degeneracy of the genetic code in two manners: having more than one tRNA (with a specific anti-codon) for a particular amino acid; and 'wobble' base-pairing, i.e. permitting non-standard base-pairing at the 3rd anti-codon position. The record is from RNAcentral. RNAcentral also lists the same sequence under 1 other name. Lineage: Bacteria; Pseudomonadati; Myxococcota; Myxococcia.